UUGGAGGGCAAGUCUGGUGCCAGCAGCCGCGGUAAUUCCAGCUCCAAUAGCGUAUAUUAAAGUUGUUGCAGUUAAAAAGCUCGUAGUUGAAUUUCGGGAUUCAUCCGUUGGUCGGGCUUCACGGUCCGUACUGGUGUGAUGGGUUCCUACCUUCUGAAUAACCGGCAUGCCAUUAAUUUGGUGCGCCGGGGAAGCAGAACUAUUACCUUGAAAAAAUUAGAGUGCUUAAAGCAGGCAAGUGCCUGAAUAGGUUAGCAUGGAAUAAUAAAAUAGGACGGCAUGGUUCUAUUUUGUUGGUUUCUAGGAUCACCGUAAUGAUUAAUAGGGAUAGUUGGGGGCAUUAGUAUUCAAUUGUCGGAGGUGAAAUUCUUGGAUUUAUUGAAGACUAACUUCUGCGAAAGCAUUUGCCAAGGAUGUUUUCAUUAAUCAAGAACGAAAGUUAGGGGAUCGAAGACGAUCAGAUACCGUCGUAGUCUUAACCAUAAACUAUGCCGACUAGGGAUCGGACGAUGUUAAUUUUUAAUGACUCGUUCGCGCCUACGGAAAC
RNAcentral lists this ribosomal RNA (547 nucleotides) under uncultured Glomeromycotina. RNAcentral describes it as "SSU rRNA". It matches the Rfam family "Eukaryotic small subunit ribosomal RNA", at positions 548 to 1098 of the family's 1831-position model. Lineage: Eukaryota; Fungi; Glomeromycota. The record is from RNAcentral.